UCUUUACAUUCAGAAGUA
Molecule: non-coding RNA, 18 nt
Filed under: Rattus norvegicus (Norway rat)
Lineage: Eukaryota; Metazoa; Chordata; Mammalia; Rodentia; Muridae
Source: RNAcentral